RNAcentral lists this transfer RNA (74 nucleotides) under Puniceicoccales bacterium. RNAcentral describes it as "tRNA-Gln". It matches the Rfam family "tRNA". Rfam says of the family: Transfer RNA (tRNA) molecules are approximately 80 nucleotides in length. Their secondary structure includes four short double-helical elements and three loops (D, anti-codon, and T loops). The record is from RNAcentral. Lineage: Bacteria; Pseudomonadati; Verrucomicrobiota; Opitutia; Puniceicoccales.
UGCCCGAUGGUGUAAUGGUAGCACAACGGACUCUGACUCCGUUUGUUUAGGUUCGAGCCCUAAUCGGGCAGCCA